RNAcentral lists this ribosomal RNA (543 nucleotides) under uncultured marine bacterium. Its description in RNAcentral is "bacterial SSU rRNA". It matches the Rfam family "Bacterial small subunit ribosomal RNA", at positions 384 to 942 of the family's 1533-position model. The record is from RNAcentral.
UGACGGAGCACGCCGCGUGAGGGAUGAAGGCCUCUGGGCUGUAAACCUCUUUUAUCAAGGAAGAAGACCUGACGGUACUUGAUGAAUAAGCCACGGCUAAUUCCGUGCCAGCAGCCGCGGUAAUACGGGAGUGGCAAGCGUUAUCCGGAAUUAUUGGGCGUAAAGCGUCCGCAGGCGGCCCAACAAGUCUGCUGUUAAAAAGUGGAGCUUAACUCCAUCAUGGCAGUGGAAACUGUUGGGCUCGAGUGUGGUAGGGGCAGAGGGAAUUCCCGGUGUAGCGGUGAAAUGCGUAGAUAUCGGGAAGAACACCAGUGGCGAAGGCGCUCUGCUGGGCCAUCACUGACGCUCAUGGACGAAAGCCAGGGGAGCGAAAGGGAUUAGAUACCCCUGUAGUCCUGGCCGUAAACGAUGAACACUAGGUGUCGGGGGAAUCGACCCCUCCGGUGUCGUAGCCAACGCGUUAAGUGUUCCGCCUGGGGAGUACGCACGCAAGUGUGAAACUCAAAGAAUUUUGACGGGAAGAACUCAAAUGAAUUUGACGGG